GCGGUGGGGCUGGGGCGUGGCGAGCGGGAUGGCGCAGCAGCUUGGCCCGCACGAACUGCAGCACAUCUUCUCUUUCCUGGAGGCCAGGGACCUGCUGUGCGCUGCGCAGGUGAACAAGGUCUGGAAUGAGGUUUCAAUGACCAAGGAACUGUGGAGACAGCUGUGUCUGAGGCGAUGGGCCCCCUGCAAGGCCUUCCCCAUGGCCGUGGGCACGCAGACAUGGAGGCAGUACUAUUUCUGCCGGUCUGAGCUAGAGUUCCGUAUGAAAUCUGGGCGUCCACAGGACUUCAUCUGCAAAGCUAUUUCUGGGCACACAGGAAUGAUAGAGCAGCUGGCCUACGUCUCACCCAGCGAGUACCGCUUUGAUGAAAGGGCAAGGUCGGUGGUUUGCACUGUGUCUUCAGACUGUACCGUGAGUGCCUGGGAUCUGCAGGAGGGCACGGAGAUCUGGUCGAGUGCUGUGCAGCCUGCUCCUCUGGUGAAUUUGGUGGCUUAUCCUCAGCUGCAGCUGGUUGUCACUGUGGACACACAGGGCUUGAUCAUGGUGUGGAACACAGAGACUGGGUCUGAAUGUGCCUCCUUCAGCUUACCGACCUCCUGUUCUUCAAUGGAAGCCUGUGAGCACCCAGAGGGCCCCUUCUUGCUGGUAGCCUGUGACGAAGGGACCCUCUACAUUAUGACAGUACCUCAGCUGCAGGUGGUCUCCAGAGUGUCCACAUUCCCUCACACCUCUGUGAGCCUUCUGUGCUCACCUGACACACAGUGGGUAUUUGUGUCUGCACAAGGCUCAGAUAUAGGCCCAAAGGUGUUCUACACUCAGCCCUUGCUACACCCAUCAGAAGACAGACUUCCUGUUUCCACUACCCUUCCCAUCAGGCUGAGCUCCAGAGCUUGCUGGGCUCCAGAUGAGGCUGCCAGGCUGAUGGUGAUACACAGAGAUGACAGUGGCGUACAUCUGGUUAUCACUACCUUCGAGUUAAAGGCCACCAAGUCCAGGGACAGAGUGAGCCUCCUGGCAGCUGGCCAGCUUCCCCCUGCCAGACACUAUGACUCCUCACCUCAUACAGGGCCACGGCUCCCAAACGAUCCUGCUCACCUCCAGGUCCGAGCUGGCGCUGUUCACCAUACAUGGCCUGCAGCUGAUGGCUUUCCAGGACCACCAGAGGCCCAUCACAUCUAUUUGGGUGGUGAGUGUGGCACCUCCCGCCUGAGGCAUGCUUCCCACGCUUGGGAAUCCAUGGCUGUAGCUCACUUGACUUCAUUUCAAGGAUCCAGACCGUGUCAUCACUGCUGCCUUGGACCUGUCCUUGCGUGUUUAUGUGUGGAAUAAAAAGAAAACAUCCCCUGUCCUCGAGAGCUGUUAUCAUUUGCUCGGGGGUUCUCACAGAUGGGCCAGUGGAUUUACCCACGUGAAGAGCGACGGCAGAAGCAUUGUUGGGGUGGAAGCCAGAAGCACGGGGACAAGUAUUCUGAGGUCAUAUUGCUUCAAAGUUAAGGGUGGCUAGGCACCACCAGUGGAAGAUGCUCUUGUUUGGUGUGUAUGCAAAAUCCUUACCAAAGAUUUUGUCAACUUUGGAAAAAGAACUAGCAAGAUGCCUGCUGUCUUCUCACAGCGAGCCAAUGAAGUGGUUUCUAUCAUCUUAUGUUUCACUGUCCUGCUCAGAAAGACAAAGAGAAUGAGUACCAUCUUCAGCAGGUUUCCAAGGUGCAGCUAGUCACAGACGGAGUGGACUCUGUGGUACUGCUAGAGUAACAGCUUGCUUGUUUACAGUCUCCAGAUGGCAACAGAAUUGUUUUGUUGUCAAGAAUGUAAUUAAAAUAUUUUUAUCUGCC
This is an RNA transcript of Mastomys coucha (southern multimammate mouse), 1833 nucleotides long. It is a transcript of the gene named F-box/WD repeat-containing protein 12-like, with no coding region annotated. Lineage: Eukaryota; Metazoa; Chordata; Mammalia; Rodentia; Muridae. The transcript is spliced from 9 exons. The record is from RefSeq and is a predicted model, not a curated record.